This 496-nucleotide ribosomal RNA is filed under the name uncultured bacterium. RNAcentral's name for it is "partial 16S ribosomal RNA". It matches the Rfam family "Bacterial small subunit ribosomal RNA", at positions 28 to 507 of the family's 1533-position model. The record is from RNAcentral.
GAUGAACGCUGGCGGCGUGCCUAACACAUGCAAGUAGAACGCUGAAGGAGGAGCUUGCUCUUUCGGGAUGAGUUGCGAACGGGGGAGUAAACCGUAGGUAACCUGCCUGGUAGCGGGGGCUAACUAUUGGAAACGAUAGCUAAUACGGCACAACAGUAGAUAUUCAAUGAUAUUGGCUUGAAAGGGGCAAUUGCUCCACUACCAGAUGGACUUGCGUUGUAUUAGCUAGUUGGUGAGGUAACGGCUCACCGAGGCGAGGAUACAUAGCCGACCUGAGAGGGUGAGCGGCCACGCUGGGACUGGGACACGGCCCAGCCUCCUGCGAGAGACAGCAGUAGGGAAUCCUCAGCGAUGGACGGAAGGCUGACCAAGCGACGCCGCGUGCGAGCAUAAGGUUGUCGGGUCGUGUAGGUCUGUUGGAAGAGAGGAUCGUGUGUGAGAGUGGAAAGUUCACACUGUGACGGUAUCUGGCCAAGAAGCGACGGCUAACUACGUG